AAACAACUACGAGUGAAAACUUAAAACUUAAAAGACUUGACGGUACUUCAUAACAACCUAGAGGAGCCUGUCUAAUAACCGAUAACCCACGAUCAACCCAACCACUUCUAGCCAUCCAGUCUAUAUACCGCCGUCACCAGCCCACCUUGUGAAAGAAACAAAGCGAGCUCAACAAUAUAACACUAGUAAGACAGGUCGAGGUGUAACAAAUGAAGUGGACCAAGAUGGGCUACAUUUUCUAACACAGAAAACACGAACAGAAAUAUGAAAAACUCCUAGAAGGCGGAUUUAGCAGUAAGCUAAGAACACCAUACUUAACUGAAACUAACGCAAUGAAGUGCGC
RNAcentral lists this ribosomal RNA (343 nucleotides) under Acrochordus granulatus (little file snake). RNAcentral's name for it is "partial 12S ribosomal RNA". The record is from RNAcentral. Lineage: Eukaryota; Metazoa; Chordata; Lepidosauria; Squamata; Acrochordidae.